RNAcentral lists this ribosomal RNA (612 nucleotides) under uncultured bacterium. RNAcentral describes it as "bacterial SSU rRNA". It matches the Rfam family "Bacterial small subunit ribosomal RNA", at positions 335 to 962 of the family's 1533-position model. The record is from RNAcentral.
ACUCCUACGGGAGGCAGCAGUAAGGAAUCUUCCACAAUGGACGAAAGUCUGAUGGAGCAAUUCCGCGUGCAGGAUGAAGGCCCUCGGGUUGUAAACUGCUUUUAUUUGUGAAGAAUAUGACGGUAACAAAUGAAUAAGGGUCGGCUAACUACGUGCCAGCAGCCGCGGUCAUACGUAGGACCCAAGCGUUAUCCGGAGUGACUGGGCGUAAAGAGUUGCGUAGGUGGUUUGUAAAGUGAAUAGUGAAAUCUGGGGGCUCAACCUCCAGGCUAUUAUUCAAACUCACAAACUCGAGAAUGGUAGAGGUAACUGGAAUUUCUUGUGUAGGAGUGAAAUCCGUAGAUAUAAGAAGGAACACCAAUGGCGUAGGCAGGUUACUGGACCAUUUCUGACACUGAGGCACGAAAGCGUGGGGAGCGAACCGGAUUAGAUACCCGGGUAGUCCACGCCGUAAACUAUGGAUACUAGCUGUUGGAGGUAUCGACCCCUUCAGUAGCGAAGCUAACGCGUUAAGUAUCCCGCCUGUGGAGUACGGUCGCAAGACUAAAACAUAAAGGAAUUGACGGGGACCCGCACAAGCGGUGGAUCGUGUUCUUUAAUUCGAUGCUAAAC